RNAcentral lists this ribosomal RNA (357 nucleotides) under uncultured bacterium. RNAcentral's name for it is "bacterial SSU rRNA". It matches the Rfam family "Bacterial small subunit ribosomal RNA", at positions 28 to 386 of the family's 1533-position model. The record is from RNAcentral.
GACGAACGCUGGCGGCGUGCUUAACACAUGCAAGUCGAGCGGUAAGGCCCUUUCGGGGGUACACGAGCGGCGAACGGGUGAGUAACACGUGGGUGACCUGCCCUUAGCUCUGGGAUAAGCCUGGGAAACUGGGUCUAAUACCGGAUAUGACUCCAUAACGCAUGUUGUGGGGUGGAAAGCCUUGUGCGGCUAGGGAUGGGCCCGCGGCCUAUCAGCUUGUUGGUGGGGUGAUGGCCUACCAAGGCGACGACGGGUAGCCGGCCUGAGAGGGCGACCGGCCACACUGGGACUGAGACACGGCCCAGACUCCUACGGGAGGCAGCAGUGGGGAAUCUUGCGCAAUGGGCGAAAGCCUGA